AGUGAACGCUGGCGGUAGGCCUAACACAUGCAAGUCGAACGGCAGCACAGUGAGAGCUUGCUCUUACGGGUGGCGAGUGGCGGACGGGUGAGGAAUACAUCGGAAUCUACUUUUUCGUGGGGGAUAACGUAGGGAAACUUACGCUAAUACCGCAUACGACCUACGGGUGAAAGCAGGGGAUCUUCGGACCUUGCGCGAUUGAAUGAGCCGAUGUCGGAUUAGCUAGUUGGCGGGGUAAAGGCCCACCAAGGCGACGAUCCGUAGCUGGUCUGAGAGGAUGAUCAGCCACACUGGAACUGAGACACGGUCCAGACUCCUACGGGAGGCAGCAGUGGGGAAUAUUGGACAAUGGGCGCAAGCCUGAUCCAGCCAUACCGCGUGGGUGAAGAAGGCCUUCGGGUUGUAAAGCCCUUUUGUUGGGAAAGAAAAGCAGCAGGUUAAUCCCCCGCUGUUCUGACGGUACCCAACGAAUAAGCACCGGCUAACUUCGUG
RNAcentral lists this ribosomal RNA (492 nucleotides) under uncultured bacterium. RNAcentral describes it as "partial 16S ribosomal RNA". It matches the Rfam family "Bacterial small subunit ribosomal RNA", at positions 29 to 507 of the family's 1533-position model. The record is from RNAcentral.